GGUGGUAGCGCGAAUGGGAGGUGGAGCGGAGCCACUGCGCCGAGGGACGCUUCAAAAACUCUGACUUUCAGCCAUUCGCGGAUCCUAGGAUGUGACAGGUGUUCGAGUUAAAAGGUCUUAAGGCGAUCGGUUGAUCCAAAAGCAGCUGAAUCUUUAGGAGGCCCAGGCAGGAGGAUCGCUUGAGUCCAGGAGUUCGAGACCAGCCUGGGCCACAGAGCAAGAUCACCGUCUCUGCAAAAGAAAUUUUACAAAUCAGCCGAGCAUGAUGGCGGGCACCUGUGGUCCCAACUACCGGGGAGGCUGAGGUGGGAGGAUCGCUUGAUAGCCCAGAAAGUUGAGGGUGCAGAGACCCCUCCACUGAACUCCAGCCCGGGUGACAGCAGAGCGAGAUCCUGUCUCAAAAAAAACAUAACCGACAUCCAGAAGUUAAAUAAAUUAGCCAGUGUCACAAAGUAUUAAUGGUUGAGUCACGAAUCGUGUUUACCUGAUUCUUUACGUGAUUCCCAUGUAAGGAAUGUUAAAUACUCAUUGCUAUGCGUCCUGGA
Molecule: non-coding RNA, 545 nt
Filed under: Pongo abelii (Sumatran orangutan)
Lineage: Eukaryota; Metazoa; Chordata; Mammalia; Primates; Hominidae
Source: RNAcentral